GGCAGUAUACAAAGGACAGAGGUGAACAAGGGAUUACUCCUAGAAAUGGCUUAGUGUUUAGGUUGUGCACGUAAAGAAAUGCCAAACACCCUUGAGUUGCACUUUUCGUCCCUUUUCUUUUGGCCUAUAUCAAGUUUACACCAUGGAAGAGGACUGAGUUAGUAGUAAUCAAAUAGCCCUUGUUCCGUUUAAGGCUCCAUAAUACUAUACUUUAUAUGUGGAAUAUAUCUGGAUCGAGACAUCAAAAAAGAAUAAGGGUUCCGGCGCAACUACUUAAGCUUGGAAAAACACCCUACAAAGACACACCUUCCUAUAGCUUAGCCGAUGAGAAUCCAGCAAGUAUGAAUAGGAGUAACAGCAUUGAAGGCAGGCGCUCUAACAUUCACAACACCUGAAAGAAGGAAAGGAAACGACAACCCCCCACCCAAGUAGGUCAAACAAAAGAAUCACUCCCUCGCUUCUUUAAGAAUAAGAAAUCAUUCUUUUAGCUUACUAUCAUAUAAGAGGUGGGCAGUACCCGCAAUGGGAAGAAGAAAGAAUGGCAGGAUAUUUCAGAUAGAAAAGCAGACAAGGCUAGAGAAGCUAGUAAUUUGACUCGUCGAGUUGUCCAGACAAUAGAACUUCCUUUUCUCCAUAAAUGCGGUUUGAUGCUUUUUAGCUUAGGUGUUUCUUUGAUCCCGUCCCUCGUAACUGUCUUUGAUUUCUCUAGGAAAUAGAGCCUUUCGCUCGUAAUUGAGCACGUGAAUAAGAUGCUCGACCAACGGGAUAUGGAGUUUUCAGUCUAUAUUAGGAUUUAACAAUUAGCAAACCCUUUCUUCUUUACAGUACAGGCCUGUGAACUCGGGGCUGUUAAACAUAAAAGAAUCCUACACUAGCCUAUUUGAGAAGUGUUCGUUCUACUUGAUCAUAUUUGACAACAAGAUAACAAGGAUAAAAGGUCACAAAGAGCGCGCUUACGAAAGCCUUCAAGAAAUCCAUUCUUGCAGCUACCAUACAAUACUUGCGAGAUUAAUUCCUGCUGCCCCUAGGAGCAAACACUCACUAUUGGAAAUUAGAAGCUCAUCUCUAUCUCUGGAUUCGGCAUAAUCAAUGGCACUAACCACACAAACAUAUGUUUAGGAAGGCUCAAUGGGUCCUAUCCCCUAUAGUAGUACGUUGGAGUGUGCGCUUUUGUUCAGGAUAGUAUAGUGGUAGGGCUGGACUCGUGCUUACCCCGCCUAUCCACCAUGCACCACAAUAAAAUAGCUAUCGGUGAAUUGAACUAACAAGAAAAGUCAGUUAUUAGGCUGAGGCAUAACAUGUAGAGGAAUAGGAAUAAGGCUUCUUGCCGGACUCUGUCUCCUUCUCUGGUCAACAUAGAGUAAGUACCUCUGAUUUCUCUGAUGAUUCGGCUUAAUGAAAAUAGAACUAGUAGCUCCGGUAUAGGGAAGGUACCGAAGCAUAUAUACACUGAUUGCUAGGAAGAUGGAUCCUGCCAUCAGGCAACGGAUGUCGGUCGGUACUCGUACUCGCUCUGAUUUCUAAUAAAUAAUAAAUAAAGAACAGGGCACUGAGAAUCGUGCUUACUUUCUUUGAUUGACCCUCCGCGCCAAGACUUGAAUAGAUUGAGUUCGCAGAUUUCUAUCCCCACGUUGGUAAGAAUCCCUGUCAUAGCAACAGCAGCCCUGACAUAAAAGGUAGGUAGAUAUCUAUUUGCAUUUCCUUGCCUUUUCUUAGUCUGCUACCACUGAGGAAAUUGCCCAAGGUUUUGAUCCUUAUCCUGGAGGUACCCCAUCUUUUCCUUUGCCACUGAGAGCGAGUUCAUUAUUCCGCAGCGCACCCUUUGUUUUGAUUGAUCAGACCGGUCAUAGCCCAUUCGCCCUUUACCUCCAAUUCCAAGUCAGAGGGGAACAUUUGGAUUCUUGAGAAUUCAUUUCUAUAACGUGGGGAGAACUGUAUAGGGAUGCGAGGAACCUUGCUUUCAGAUCGCAAGUCCAAUAGGCGGUCGAGGUCUUCUAUCUAAUCCAUUACCAUUGCUUCUGGGGAAAAGGGAUAACAAACAAGGGAACGAUAGGACAAUCUAUGAUGCUAGUUUUGUCGUUGCCCGGUACAAGUCAAGUUUUGAAAGUAUAAGAGAGAAUCACAUUGCUAACUUACUGCUAUUAUCGAUAUUCGAACAUGAACUCACAUGCUUUAACUCAUUCAGGAAGCUCUACCUCAUAAUAGGCUAGCGGUCCCACGGAUGCCAAAAACAUCUUACUGACUGCUUAAACUCUGGUAAGCUAUCUAGUUCAUAUGAGAGAGAUAGUCGUCUCAUCAUUGGUGAUGGAUCAGCACUUCCGAUGACUCAUGACUGACACACUCUCGAUUCAGGUUCCGUUUUAUUGCAGGGGAUAAGUUGGAUUCCAAAUGUGUUAGUCGUACUAUCCUCACCAAAUAAGUAGUAGAUUCCGAGUGCGACCAGCUCCUUGAGUGAAGGGCGACUUAAGUGCAUUAGGCCGAUGUCAAUAAAGAUGUAGAAGAAGAAGAGAUGUUAAAGUAGUGGGCCAGGCCAAGCUACUCGGAUUUCUCAAAGUAGCAAUAAUCCCAUCCAUUACUCCUUGAUAGGCUUUUAGAUGCUUGUAGGCCUCGCGUACCCAUUGGCUUUGUAGAUUGCGGAGUCAUCAUGGCUAGGUUUAUGAAAUCCUUACUUCAGGAUCGUAUCAGAGAGAGAAGAGACCCGAGUCGAGAGCCGAAACGAGUGCGAGCAGCAGAGAGAUCCAUACUCCUUAUACUAAAGAGAUCCAUACUCCUUAUAUCUUUGAAAAGCGUUUCCUUUGUUAGCUACCUAUUACUUCACAAAAUGGGUGGAAGCAGCGCCAAUGACAUGACAGAAGUAACCACAACAGAAAGGUCAACAACACUAAGUACCUUCAUAAGCGUUACAAUAUAAAGAAGGAUAUGUUCAUAUAUAUAAAGAAAGAAUGAAAUACCAAGAAUGAAACGAACAGACAAGCAACGGUCCCAGAGCAAGACGUUCUAAAAGUGUUGUAUACGAAGCGAGAAGGGAGCACUUUUCUAAUGUCCACGGAGCGAGUCAAGAAAACAUUAGAUUACAGGUCGGGUUAUAGUCUUAUGGUUGAAGUUUAUGGAAGUGAUUGUGUUGUCCGGGGCAGAAUAUCUUAUUUCUUAAGCUAGUGCGGUGCUUGUUGGUGCUUGUUAAAGUCCUAAUGCGGGGCGCGACAAGAGAUCAAAUCUGAGAUGCGCUACAAGAGAGAUAGAAUGAUUUGUUUCAACUUACCAUAUAUUCUAGUUGAAAGGAUGGGUUAAGGUCCAGGCCCACUAAUAAGACGUCGUGUGUAAGCAUCAGCUUCAACAAACCGUGUUGCGCUUAAGGAGUUAUGUGAGUUUGGCGAUGUUCUUAAAAGAUGCCCUUGUGCCUUACGGAGAGGAUGAAUCUUACCUACUUCCCCAUAUCGCCUCUGCUACAGUAUGAUGCUUCUCUAGAGGUUUCGCUUUCCAUUCCAUUCUUUAGGUCUGGGAAGAAUCUAUAGGUGCAUAACUUCUAACAAAGGGAAAGCCUAUUACUUUGCAUAUCCAGCUCCAAUUUAUGAUCAGUAUCAAGCGAGCUCUUAUUACAAAUGUCGAUGCUCAACACGAAAUCCCUUUCUUGGAAAUCCUUUUGCUUAAAUGAGACUCUCCACUAAUAUAGCAAAACGGUAAUAUAGUUCUAAAAACGGGAAUUGCACUUACAAAAACAAACAAGUGCUUCCACUUUAUUAGCUUAUGAAUUGAACGACUUUAUUUCUACCCUAUUCUUUCUUAUCUUUUAAUUGAAUGAUCAACUGCCUAUUUGGAUGUUUGAGUAGCGCUAACUGAGUUUGACAUAAGGUACGGUACGAAAUGUUUGAUUUGACUUCUUUCUGCUUAGGAGUUAGAAGCGCUAACAGAGUUUAUAGGUGCAUUACUUAAUUCGAGAGACAAAUGAAGUUCAGAAUUCGCUAUUAAACAAGCAGACUCCGUAGUCACUUAUACUUACUUGUGAAAUUCUUUGUAGUAACCUAUUCCCGGCCUUAUGAAGAUUGAUUCCAUUCCUGCUUCAUUGUGGCGGAUAAAAGAUUGAUGAUUGUGUUGCUGGGUGCGAGUGCAGUGCAUGUUCUCCUAUGAGUAAGUGAAAGUCAAGUCCAAGUUGCUUCCACUCAAAGUUAACGGCUCUAAAAGUGCUCCUUCAUAGAUUCCCCAUGUUAUUAUAGAAGAUAGACUAAGCAAUCUGAUAGGAAGAUAGACUAAGCAAUCAAUCUGUGAUAGACAAAAAUCUGAAGCGUGAGAGAGUUUGCUUAUUGGGGCUAGAAAGAGUUAAGGUCAUUGUGCGCGUAAGAAAGGUAGGAAACAAUAGAGCUGGAGAAGGAAAGUCCACAACAUCAUAUGAAUACGCAGUCCGAGCUGUCUUUGUUGGCUUAGGGCAAGAAUAAGACAAGUUGUUGACAUGUUGGUUACUAAGAUGGAGAAGUAGUGCAAUGAAAGCUGUCAGCAAGCAUAACAAAUAACAGGGCAUGUUACCUCACUGCCUAAAGCUUGUUCCGGGCUUAUUCCUGAAAGAGAUAUUUGGCCUUGUUCCUUCCAAAGCUAAUUAAAGCACAAGCACUCUAGAGAUAAUAUCAUAUUAAAAACCCAACCCACAAAACCAAUUGCUUUUAGAAUGGAAUUGCCCCGUUCAGUUCACACCACACGCUCUCACUGAGAUUACUCUUGGCAUGGCACCUCUUUUCCAAUAAUCUUAUUCUUGAAAACUUCCUAACAGGGCAGAGGGCGUAGUAGAAUAAUUCUGCUAUGAAGCUAAGGUGAAGUAUCAAGUGCUGUAUUUCUUUCUUUUCUUUAUGUUUGGAAGAAGCGUACACGGAACAAACUAGUAAGUCAAUCUGGCAUGGCAGAGGAAAGAGUGUAUUAGCGUUGCAGUGAGGGCGGGGUUCGAAAGAAGGGUGUGUGCUUAGCCUUCACCGAGUAGUGGUCCAAGCUACAGAACAAUAAAAGCUAUGGAAAGUCAAGUAUAAGCUAUCUAUAACAAAGCAAGACAUUGUGCUUAUGUGAGUUGCAAAUAAGAUACAACUCUAAGGUAUAUUUCUUUCUCAAAAUGAACUAGAACUAACGGUACCUAAAUAACCAAUCUUCUCUUAUAAAUUGAGUUUACCAUAACUUCAACUUAGAGAAAGAGGAAAGUGCAAGUGGGUUUAAGGUCAGAAAGAGAGAGUACUUUACUUAGACUUGAAGUUCAUCAUUUCUUUCAUCCAUCUCACGCAGAAGAUCCAUCAGAUUGGCCCAAGCAAGAAGUAAGCUUACGUAAAGGGAUAGAGUUAAGCUAUAGGGUACGCUAGAAACAAGUUCGAAUGCAAGUGAGCCUACCCUAUGUCAACUUCGGAUGGCGCCUAGACUAGAUGGAAGCUGUCCGGGGGAUUGCAAAUAUAGAACCUGUAUGGUAAGAACGAGUGCUGUCCCGUAUCACACUAGGAUGAAACAAGAACAGGCAAUUGAGUGUCCAACAAACCCCUAAAUAAUAAGUUCGAAAGUCAAACACCCGAUACUUAAAAUGCAACUGGAUAGACUCGGAAUUCCACUCGAAAGUCAUAACGAAACUGCAAGGGAACCCUCAAGGGAAGCACUUCAGAAGGUAGGCGAGAAGGAAGUAUUUGUUUCCUAGGCGCAUUAGGAAGUUAUGAAAGUACACUACGGUACGGGGUCUGUUUUCUAGCUUCAUUAACUAGCUUAAUUAUAGAGAGUCUGGUCUGUCUCUUGGGGUACGAGAGUAUUGUCUAGGUUUGGUGAUUGUGUUGCACGUCUGAAAGGAGAGUUCCCGGUCUGAAAGGAUAGGUCUAGAGAUAGAGCUCGGUAAGUAAGGUGUGUUGUCGUGAGAGGGCUUGGCUGCUCUUAUGAAAUUCCAUGAAAUUCUUCUGUAGUUGAGAAUUCUGUGUUAAAUGAUUUAUUUAUUAACUAACGUAUAUGAGCAAGAGAGGGCAGGGAAAUGGUCAAUUCCUUUCUUUUAUAGAAGUAGAGAGGUCCGCGGGAAGUAUCGAAUUGUUGUCAGUAGAAGAGCCGAGUUCAGCAAGUAAUAAUCGCUGGAAUGCUGUUUCAGGGUUGAUGUUUUCAAGUAAGAGUCGCGUGCCACUGUUGCGGUUUCUUUCUUGAUUAUAGAACCUUAUAUAAGGUGGAAUGAAAGUGGGGCCAAGUCCUAUAACUUUACAUAAAGCACUAUCAAUCAGGGUUCUGUUCUUCAACGCCCAGCCAGAGCUGCCCUACCGCCAUGAAUACCCAAAAAAGGAGCAAAUUGGUGCCUUAAACAACGAGAAAUAAGCCAUCUUUUCCUGCCUGUCACCUUGAUUAUGACCUUCUUAAAAGUACUGAGUACGGGGAGUAUCUUAAAGCAACGGAACUCGCAAGGGAAAAACCAUUCGAUAACUUGAAAAGACGGUGCAAAUAUAGAGUACUUCAGAGCAACGGGCGCUAAGAGCAACAAUACAACAUGAAAAACUACAUAAAUACGUUCUAAAAGCAGUUAUAAAUCAUACCUUAGUUCGACUGCUAACGACUCCUCGGGUGCUAAGAAAAAGAAGAUAGGUUAUUUACCUUAGUUGAAGAGCUGGACUUGUAGAAUCAAUUCCUGCCGCCACGAAAACAACACUAGUUUACCCAUACGUUUCUUCUACUACUCUGGUAUAUGGUUGAUUCUCCUACUACAGACAGUAUCCAUCCUCUUGGGGUGGGGCGCCAGUUCAAGUUCCUUUACUAAUACUUAUAAGAAAGCGGUCUUCUACUUUUGUUUCAAGUGUUUGUAUAGCGGCCCUUUAGCGCCAUGGCUUGGUGGGCCCUUAUAGUACUUUCUUUCCCCUUGUAAUAGAGUUCGGGUCGGGUUUAAGUGUUUCUGUGCAAAGAAAGGAUACUUCACUAUCACUUCUGGGGUCGUCAAAUCAUUCUUAUAGUAAGUAUCUGCUUGUCUUCUCUCUUUCGAUAAUCAAUUACAGGUGUUCGAUAGACUCAAUGAAAAGAAUUGUCUGUAUCAGGAUCAUCGGCAGUCUCAAGUCAGUCUGAUUCAAAAGAAAGGGACGCAGCGGUAAGUCAACUAUAAGAAACUACCUUACCGAAGCAAUAGUACGAGUAACACAAGAGCAGGGCCAUUAAGUGACAUGUGCAUUCCUACUUUCCUUUGCCUAACUAUAAUUGAAGCUUCUUCUCUUGAGUUGGAUACAUUCCUCGAACUUAUGAUCCUAGAGUUUACCUUUCCUCGCACAGCUCAUUCUUCCCUUGCAUUAUGACCCCGCUCAUUCUUCCCGGCCAGUACUAUGAAUAAAAUAACCAGGCAAGCAGAGAAGUUGACUUAUCCCUGUAUUAUAGGCUUGAAAUUCAAUUGAAAGCGGGUUGGAUCUCUGGAUAACUGAUUCUUAAGCCCCUCCUGGCAACUGGAACUAUCCUCUUAUCUAGCUCCUGAGUUUGACUACGACGUUCAAUUAUAGUUUGACUACGACGUUCCAUUCUUACAUAAAAUACCAGAGGAGAGUUAACGAGCGGGUUCAAUUCAAUUACUUACUUUUUGGAUUCUUAACAGGUUUGGCGGACUACUCUACUGGUUGGGCAAGGUCAGAAACAUCUUACUUAGAAUUGACUUAUACUUACUAAUGCUAUUGCUACUGUUGCUAAGAAGUCAAAUACGCACUUUCUUGCCUAGUAGCUUAGGAGUCAAAGCAGGAAGAUGAAACAUCCGAAUCUCCCCAUCUUUGAAAUCCAAAUAAGGAAUAGAGGAGCUCGGCCCUUAAGUAAAUUGCAGUAGAAUCAUCAGCUAAGAAACUCUCACUGGCUAUUCAGCUGCCCGGGGUUAAUAAAGAAGUGUUGUGGUAUACUUCCGCAUCUGGUAUAAGGCAAGUCAUAAUGGAAAUAGAGUCCGAGUGGAGGAGGUGGCACCAAUGCUAAAGGAGCAAUAACAGUAUUUGUUGACUUAGGUAGAGGAACAAUAGUACAAAAGAUGAAAUCGGUAUUGUUGCCCGAGAAGAAUGGGGAUUUGGAAGCAGGAAGCUAUUCUGAACAGGAGAUGAAGGUCACUUCCCUAGUGUUGCUGGAACAAUAGCAUUAGGGAGUGAACCCCGUUAGCUGAGGAAUUCUAGUGCCCGUGCCCCGCCUAGGUAUUCUAGAAGGCUAUAAGAUUCUAUUCUAGAAGGCUAUCAGAUUAAUAAGAUCAUAUAUCAUUUAGUAUGUUUUCCUCAAUUACUGGUUGCGAGCGGGAAGGCCGUAUCAGUAAUUGGUUGCUUGGUCACUUAGAUGAAAAACAAGAGCCGUUGAAAACAUUCCAUUCCCUUACUAAAUGCAGGGUUUUCUCCACGAAAUAUAUUCUAUCUUUAUAAUGCAUUAUUCCGAUUCUUGUAUUCUCGUGUCGCUAAAGGGCCGCUCUUUCGCUCCUCCGUUUUAUAGGCAUAAAUUCUUUAAACAACUAUUGACGCAUCCCUUUCCACUCUUCUCUUUACCCUAAGAGCACUUUGCUUCGGAUUGCCCUCCUUCCCCCGCGCACCAGUACUUUAUUAAUAAAAGGAUCCAUCUUUACAGCACUACCACUUUAAGAAGGUAAGGGUAUUUCAACCAACUCUUCAUUACUACAGGCUAAACUCAGUACUUAAGGAUAAGAAUUCCAUUAGUGUCGAUGAAACUCUCUCUCCUUCCUACCUCAACUGUGGACUCUUCUCUAUAUUUAUGAAUACUCUUUCUUUUGAUCUUGCUUCGGCUUCUAGAUACGAUUAGAUUACACCAUUGACUUAAGGGCUAGGCGAACAUCACUCGUAUGAAACACAGAUGCACUUAAUGGUCACUGUAAACUGGAGCUGGCACUGCGGAUUCUUGAGAUUGAGUUGCUGCUGUUGAUGAUCCUUAUGCGGUAAGUCUUAGUAUAUGCUUGGUCCCUACUAUAUUAUAUAUUAUCUUAUAUUAGGAUUACAUUUCGGAUGAAACUCUGGAAACCCUUUCACUCUAUAUAUAAAGAUAUAUUAUUGACAUUCCAAUUCUUUAACAAGCCCCAAGCAAGGACUGUGUGAGAAGCUAGGGGGAUAGUGGAAGCUCCGUAUUAGCAACAGGGGUGAGGUUCAGAAACGUGUAUACAAAGAAAAUAAGUAAACUCACUCCUAAUGAUAAAGUGAACUAUUGGAUUGUCCCGCCUCCUCGUCGCCAGUACCUGAUCCUAAUUCUUAUCAAACAUCCUAUCGAGUCGAAAAGACAGAUUACUUGAUCACUGCCUCAGAUCCAUCUUACUAACCUUUCUACUUCCUCCUCUCUUACUCGCUUACUCCUCUUGUAGAAAAAACUGUCCACUCGAGACCCUUGACUUGCUCAUAACGAACGGGCCAAGCAGACAAGCAACAACCAGUGAAGUUGACCCCGGAGUGGACUAGUAUAGUCUCCUUUUUCACUCACUCCUAAAGUUGCUCACCUAGUAUAGUCUCCUUUUUCACUCACUCCUAAAGUUGCGACUCUCUUCUUGCCCAAACAGCCCUUUCAGACCACAAAUUGUAAUAACUUCUUUUUUUGUUCGAGAGCAGAGCCAGAGCCAGGCCAGAGAGAUAAUGUCAAAUACAGCCCUUCCCUUAAGCGCUCCAUGUAGUGGGCAUUCGAUUCGAGAUGAUCUUCGUGGACAUUUGCUAUGGAACCGUAGUGUUCAGAGGAGCUAGGUGGGAAAGGAAAGAACUGGGAUUUGAACAUGCAGUAAAUGCUAGCCAUUAUGACCCAUCCUAUAUUGGGCCAGGCCAGGAAGCUGAUCCUGAAACUGCCAACAUUCCAUCCGAUAUAGUAGAUGAGAUCCAUACAUCCUGAUUUCCCUAAUUGAAACAUUAUGAAACUGCCAACAUUCUAUCCGAUAUAGUAGAGCCAUAACCCUUCUUUCCCUUAUUGAAACAUUCUAUCCGAUAUAGCAGAUAAGAGCCAUCUACCUAUCUUGUAUUUCCCUUACUUAUUGGUGGGGUUGGUCGGACUUCCUUCAUGGUAAUCAUUAAAGUAGAACAUUCCAGUAAAAGACUUCAUGGUGCGUGCCAAUCAUUCAAAGUGGUGAUCUGGGCAGAAGUAGCUAGAGGCAAACCACUCAGAUGCCCAGUCAGCUAAGCUUCUAUGGCUGUGGGGGGCCGAAUUAUUUAAGUAGUCAGUUUCGGAGCUUAGUCUUAAUUAAUUAUAUAAGAAGUCUUUUGCAUAAGUUAACAUAUUCCAUAAGAUAGAACUUCCUAUAAAACCAACGGAAACUACAUCUCUAUUCUCUCUAUUAUGCCUCUGCCCUUUAAUAAGCAGGGUUUGAUUAUGCCGAGAUAUAUUCGAUUCUUGACUUAUGCCGAGAUAUAUUCGAUUCUUGACUUAAGUAAUAGCUGUGAGAUUACUAAGUAAUAGCUGUGAGAUUACUAAAAGAUAUCCCAUGUGCUCGAGACUCGAGAGAUUCCAUUCUGCACUUCUUGUAGAGUGAAAAACCAUAUUGGUAAGAUAUACUAUUGGAUUCUAUUAGAAGUAGUGUCAAUCAUUGAAAAUCAAAUAUGCAAAUCAAAAUGGUGGAAGGGUUUGGACUAUGCUUAUAGAAGAAGUGACUAAUAUUCCAUUUGGAAGCUUCAUUCCUAUAUUUCCAGAUCAGCCAUAAAGAGUGGGCACUGCUAGCUCGAAGGGAUUAGAUUUAUGUUUAGUCAAGUCACGCGUACCCAUUUAGUAUGAAUAAUAGAAACACAUAUUGAGGAUGAAUAAUGGAAACACAUAUGAAAUGAGUAAAAACACUCCGGACUCCUAUGACUAUAAAGAAUAGAAAGAAGAUAGCGUCACACAUAUAGAAAGAAGUAAACAAUCUCCUUACUAUCCUUAAGGAACCUUUCAUACAAUGAACAGAUGGGUACUGCCGAAGAUUGACUUUUCCAAAUCCAGAAGAUUGUAUAGACCCAAUGGGACCGAAUCUGACCUAAACCCCAGCGCCCUAAGAGAAGGAACUCACGUAAGCACCCGCUUAUAUACAAUACUAGCAUAUUACCCCUGACCCCGGAGAUACAAGACGGAACUCUAUUCCCUUGAAUCACCCCUAUCUUAAAUCACCCCUAUAAUAAUUGAUUGAUGUCGGCACCCCCAACUUGUAAAGAAGGGAAUGAGUGACUAUGACUUUUCAUGUACGAUACUCAACUCCCUUCCUUCUUUAAUAACAUGACUUUUCAUAUACUAAACUCAACUCCCUUCCUUCUUUAAUAACAUGACUUUCGAAUAUAUAUAUCUAUAUGAUACGCGACUAACGGAUAUCUCCUUUCAGAUUCUCACUUUCAGAGUCAAUAGAUUCUCCCACAUGCGUCUAAUCGGUUUCAGUUCCGCUAUUGCUUUCUUUUCGGUUUCAGUUCUGUUAUUGCUUUCCUUGUGGCUUCCUCUCUCUCUCUUUCCUGAUGGUGAAUAACCGCUCUUUGAUUUUAUGUCGGAAGUUACAUCUAAGGGUAAAUAAGAGAUGGCAUCGAAAAGGAGGGCCUAAGAAAGAGUGUCUCGAUAAGGUGCGGAUGCCUGAUUGACCAUACUCUCCUUCGACACAGGAAGGGAAGCAUCGAAUUGCCUUAGUGGGAUAGCUUAGUUCAAUAGUGAGUUCUUAGUGGGAUGGGAUAAGCUUAGUUCAUUAGUUCUUUUCUAGUAGGAAGGAAUAAGGCGAAAACUUAGAGUUUGUUACAGCCCAGCCCUAAACUGAGUUUCAGAACGAAAGAAUCGCACAAUGGUGGAGAUGACCAGAAGCUUCUUAAAGAGAAGGGGCAAAGAAGGUUGCCUUGGAAGUGAUUCAGUUAGAGAGCCGGUUACCGAAAAGCACCUUUAGCUGGGGUCUAUCGAAGACGAAGAGGGGAUUCUUUCUCUCUUCCCCACAUCCACAAGACGAUGAAAAACAAAUAUAUGCCAUUCGAUUCUUUCCUAUUUAAUAAGAGAUGGGAAAGGCAAGGAGCGUCCAUAAGAUAAAGUAUAGAGCUGGAGUGGUUGGGAAGUAGUCUAUAAGAUUGAUUAUAGAUCUCAGGGGUCGGGAAUGAAUUACAGAGGACUGGGUUCAGGUCAAGAAUCCGGUAUACUUUUCUAUGUUGGUGCCGAUAUAAGUUCUUCAAGCUUCAAGUCGGAUGUUAGGUUACAUAAUGUUCUCAGAUGUAUAUUAGAUUCUUUAGAGUGGAGAGUUCUUUUACUUCAUUAUAGAAUCCGUGUGAAACAAAGCAACUCGAGGUGCACUUCCUUUUUCUAUUAACUUAUCCCUCCCAGGCUUUCUGAGACCUGUGCGAGAAAUGCCUUUAGCACGAAUUCGUCAGAUACGAAGCUCAGGGGUGGGAAUCAAUUUCUUAUAAUGACUUUUUGGUUGCUUUUCUAUUCUCUUCUCAUUCUCUAUCUAAUGAUAAAGAGAAAUAUCAAGUGCUCUUUUGUGUCUCAGUGAAGGCCAGGCCCCCAAUCCCUUCUUUAAAUGGAUCUUAUCCUGUGCUUAGGAUCACUCUGCGCCUAUGAACCCGAAAAAGGAGGUCGUUUUGAACUUCUUCUUUCUUCUAAUGAGGGAGAGGUCUCACUUCUUCUUUCUUCUAAUUAGGUCAUUCAUGUCAUGGCUCGCUCAGUUUGCUCGCGGGCGCCCAUUCCAGCCCGAGUUUGUGAAAGGAAGGCUAGAGAGGUGGGUCUCUCCUGAUUGAGUUCGCCAUCGUCCACAUCACUAGAUUCUAUCCCUUGCCCUAACUCUCCAUUUGGUGAGAAGGAAGUCAGCUUCAUCUUUCCACCCCUGCUGUCCAUCUCCGUUUCAAUUCUGCCCUCAUACACCUACUCCUUUCGGACUCGGUAAAGAAGCUAUCAGGUAAUAAAUCAAUCCCGGCAAACCACUGGAAUAUGAUCUUAUCUUGGGCAAACAAACAAUAAAUCCAUUAAUGAAUUUCAGAAAGAAGAGCUUAUUGUUCCAAUUAGAUACUAGAAAGAAUGGCAGAAGGAAUUAGCUAACUAUUACAAUAAACGAUUGAAAGAUUAACCGAUAUAGGAGUAGCCUUCCUUCUCUCUAUCACUCCUUAGAUGGGGAAUUCAUUCCUGAGAGGAAAGCAAAGGAGCUAAGAGCCUCUAUAUAAUUAAGCGGAAGAUUAAGUGAGGGAAAGGAAAGGCGUCGAACAUCUAAUCUAGGACCGGUCGCCUUUCUCAAAGAGUCUUUAUAUGCUAAAGCAUACAUAUACAUUAUUGGGGAAGUAAGGAAGGAACGCAGAAGAUAAGCCCUAUAGCAUUAUUUGGGAAGUAAGGAAGGGACGCAUAAGCCCAACACAAUAGCAUUAUUUGGGAAGUAAGGAAGGGACGCGGAAACCCACCCUAUAGCAUUAUGGAGUUCUGCGGUGAACUAAUCGCAUCAGGUAUUCUUUGAGUGUCGGAAAAACACGAAAAUGGUAAGCUCAGCUCCAGAGUCUUUUCACUGAAGACAGCUAUCAAGUUCGGCUCUUUGCAGUGCACAAGGCGGAGUUGGGACUGUGGUGAAGUCAAACAGUUCGGACGUGAGCUUGGGGACCUCGGCUUAAACCCACUAUCAGGUAUAAUAAAGGGCAGAAGGAAUGGGAAUAUUUUCCACCCACCAGCACCGACUCAGAUAGAGAUAGGAUCAAAUAGUACCAUAUAAGGGUCAGAUUCUCUCUUUCUAGAUCAAAUAGUACUAUAUGUUGGUCAGAUUCUCUCUUUCUUAGAUCACAGAGUACUAUACAGUUGGUCAGAUUCUCUCUUCUAUAAGAAGUGGUGUCAAUCAUUUUCAAUCCAAUAUGGAAUAGUGUAAAAACACAGCUUUGCUUCCCAAAGAGUCGCGGGGGGUCUGGUUCCACACAAGUAUUGGUAUUGCCAUGAAGCGUGGGCACUUAUUAAUAUUUGACUACUAUUCUCUUCUUCAAGCGUAGUGAAAGUCAAUUCCUAAUCCAGAGCACGCGCCUAUAGGCCACUAGUUACUCAGUUCAAGGUUAGCGCUGGGAAUGAAUGUUAACCAAUUGUAGACAGACAUUCUUUUCUUUCGGCUUUUGGAAGAUAGUCAAUAUGGUUAGUUAUGGUGUCCGUGGUCUUGUUCAAAUGCUUGAUUUCUUUCCUUCCGGGGCAGGAGCAAGAGGUCUGGCUGGCUCUUUUCCUGUUCCACUCAAGUCAUACAAUUAUUGUUAUCGGGGGUGCAUCUGUUGGGGGCGUAAGCGCUGUAGUGAGCUCCACUCGAAAGGCUUGCUGCACCAUCUCCUCGGAUUAGAAUUGGGAGCAAUAGUCGUAGCGGUGUAACUGUGACUUUCCUCUUUCAACAAAGCGAUAAGACUACUUUACUUUACUUCCUUUCCUUGGCUAGAAGAUAGUGAGUGCAUUGAUAUAGAUAAGUUGGAAUCUGAUAGUAAGUGCAUUGAUAUAGAUAAGUUGGAAUCUAGUCAGUGUGCCAAAUACUCUGAGCCAUAGCUUACCUCUUUCUUCUUAGACCGGUUCGCACCCAAAAGGAAUUCAUAAUUUGUGUAAGACAAGAGAGGUUCGCAGACGAGUGAUAGCAGUACAUAGGAAUAAAGAGGAUGAGUAGGAGUCUGUCUUCAAGGGAAGGAAAAGACCUAUAGCCCCAAGCCCCUUAUUGACCAAAGGAGAGUCAAAAAAGCAAAAAAGAAGGUGUUUAAGGCGGGUGCUCACGAGCCUAAUAAGCUGCUAUAGUCAUAAGCUGCUAUAGAUAUAUAGUGAAGUAGCUAAAUCCAGUUCAACUAGAGUCGGUGGGAAAAGAAACCCUGUCAUUCAGUUCCAAUCGAAAGGAAACCAUACUACUCAAAGAAAGUGAAGCACGCAAGUAAGCAAGCAAAAUCUUCUUCUUAUUAUGCCGGGACCCCAAUGCGCAACAUGAUACUAAGCUUAUUCCCUUAACAACUACUGGAGUUGGAGCUGGAUCUGUUGCAUAAGAAUCAUAAGCCUACAAUUAGAUAGCAAUAAAUGAGAUAAAUAAGGGAGUUUAGUAUCUUAUAGAAUAGGGUCAAGAAUCAGGAUCCUCAUAACCCGACCUAUAAUAGUCCUUUAACACCUGUAUACCAAUAUAAUGGCUAAUCCUACACAAACAAACUCUAAGGCGCUUAGGAACAAGCAAAACAAAGGCUUUCAACAAGUGAGGGAAAAAGUAAGAUGUUAGGUUACAAAUUCAUUCUAAGGAUUGUUUCCGAGUUUAGAUAGUGAAUUAGCUAUCAGAGUCAUUUCCCCGAGGCAAGCAAAAGAAUAGAGAGUUUUUGACCCGGUCAUUCGAGUCGAUAUUAUGAAAGUGGAACAGGAACAGGCCAACUUGUAG
RNAcentral lists this long non-coding RNA (15229 nucleotides) under Musa acuminata (dwarf banana). Its description in RNAcentral is "long non-coding RNA (MACU_LNC008134)". Lineage: Eukaryota; Viridiplantae; Streptophyta; Magnoliopsida; Zingiberales; Musaceae. The record is from RNAcentral.